UGGGGAAUAUUGCGCAAUGGGGGGAACCCUGACGCAGCCAUGCCGCGUGAAUGAAGAAGGCCUUAGGGUUGUAAAGUUCUUUCGGUAUUGAGGAAGGUUGAUGUGUUAAUAGCACAUCAAAUUGACGUUAAAUACAGAAGAAGCACCGGCUAACUCCGUGCCAGCAGCCGCGGUAAUACGGAGGGUGCGAGCGUUAAUCGGAAUAACUGGGCGUAAAGGGCACGCAGGCGGUUAUUUAAGUGAGGUGUGAAAGCCCCGGGCUUAACCUGGGAAUUGCAUUUCAGACUGGGUAACUAGAGUACUUUAGGGAGGGGUAGAAUUCCACGUGUAGCGGUGAAAUGCGUAGAGAUGUGGAGGAAUACCGAAGGCGAAGGCAGCCCCUUGGGAAUGUACUGACGCUCAUGUGCGAAAGCGUGGGGAGCAAACAGGAUUAGAUACCCUGGUAGUCCACGCUGUAAACGCUGUCGAUUUGGGGGUUGGGGUUUAACUCUGGCGCCCGUAGCUAACGUGAUAAAUCGACCGCCUGGGGAGUACGGCCGCAAGGUCA
RNAcentral lists this ribosomal RNA (547 nucleotides) under uncultured bacterium. RNAcentral's name for it is "bacterial SSU rRNA". It matches the Rfam family "Bacterial small subunit ribosomal RNA", at positions 355 to 896 of the family's 1533-position model. The record is from RNAcentral.